RNAcentral lists this transfer RNA (87 nucleotides) under Porolithon onkodes. RNAcentral describes it as "tRNA-Ser". It matches the Rfam family "tRNA". From Rfam's summary of the family: Transfer RNA (tRNA) molecules are approximately 80 nucleotides in length. Their secondary structure includes four short double-helical elements and three loops (D, anti-codon, and T loops). Lineage: Eukaryota; Rhodophyta; Florideophyceae; Corallinales; Porolithaceae. The record is from RNAcentral.
GGAGAGGUGGUAGAGUCGGUUGAUUGCGUCUGAUUUGAAAUCAGAUGAACCCUUAGGGUUCCGUGGGUUCGAAUCCCACCCUCUCCG